GACGAACGCUGGCGGCGUGCUUAACACAUGCAAGUCGAACGGAAAGGCCCUGCUUUUGUGGGGUGCUCGAGUGGCGAACGGGUGAGUAACACGUGAGUAACCUGCCCUUGACUUUGGGAUAACUUCAGGAAACUGGGGCUAAUACCGGAUAGGAGCUCCUGCUGCAUGGUGGGGGCUGGAAAGUUUCGGCGGUUGGGGAUGGACUCGCGGCUUAUCAGCUUGUUGGUGGGGUAGUGGCUUACCAAGGCUUUGACGGGUAGCCGGCCUGAGAGGGUGACCGGCCACAUUAGGACUGAGAUACGGCCCAGACUCCUACGGGAGGCAGCAGUGGGGAAUAUUGCACAAUGGGCGGAAGCCUGAUGCAGCAACGCCGCGUGCGGGAUGACGGCCUUCGGGUUGUAAACCGCUUUCGCCUGUGACGAAGCGUGAGUGACGGUAAUGGGUAAAGAAGCACCGGCUAACUACGUG
RNAcentral lists this ribosomal RNA (468 nucleotides) under uncultured bacterium. Its description in RNAcentral is "partial 16S ribosomal RNA". It matches the Rfam family "Bacterial small subunit ribosomal RNA", at positions 28 to 507 of the family's 1533-position model. The record is from RNAcentral.